ACGGAAGGCAGCAGUGGGGAAUAUUGGGCAAUGGGCGCAAGCCUGACCCAGCAACGCCGCGUGAAGGAAGAAGGUUUUCGGAUCGUAAACUUCUAUCCUUGGUGAAAAUAGUGAUGGUAGCCAAGAAGGAAGCCCCGGCUAACUACGUGCCAGCAGCCGCGGUAAUACGUAGGGGGCAAGCGUUGUCCGGAAUGAUUGGGCGUAAAGGGCGCGUAGGCGGCCUGUUAAGUCAGAAGUGAAACUCCUGCUUUUAAGGUGGGAACUGCUUUUGAUACUGAUGGGCUUGAGUGCAGGAGAGGUAAGCGGAAUUCCCGGUGUAGCGGUGAAAUGCGUAGAGAUCGGGAGGAACACCAGUGGCGAAGGCGGCUUACUGGACUGUUACUGACGCUGAGGCGCGAAAGUGUGGGGAGCAAACAGGAUUAGAUACCCUGGUA
RNAcentral lists this ribosomal RNA (434 nucleotides) under uncultured bacterium. RNAcentral describes it as "partial 16S ribosomal RNA". It matches the Rfam family "Bacterial small subunit ribosomal RNA", at positions 341 to 792 of the family's 1533-position model. The record is from RNAcentral.